AUGAGGGUCCAUUUUGGGGAGAUACAAUUUUGGAGCAAAUGUUCUUUGGUUUUAGGCCUAUCAAGACAUGUUCCUGACCACCUGGAAGACUGUGUGACUGGGCAGAGAAGAGAGUGCUUUUACCAGCUUCAUCCUCCUUCCAGGAAAAUGGCUUUGAUAGAACAUUCAGCCUCAGGUCCAACACAGUGGCUCAUGCCUGUAAUCCCAACACUUCAGGAAGCCAAGAAAUGUGGAUCACUUGAGGCCAGGAGUUUGUGACCAGCCUGGCCAAACUCGUGAAACCUCGUCUCUACUUAAAAAUACAAAAAUUAGCUGUACAUGGUUGUACAUGCCUGUAAUCCCAGCUACUUGGAAAGUUGAAGCAUGAGAAUUGCUUGAACCUGGGAGGCAGAGGUUGCAGUGAGCCAAGGUCACACCACUGCACUCCAGCCUGGGUGACAGAGCAAGACUCUGUCUUAAAAAAAAAAAAAAAUGCAGCCUCUUUCAUUGUUGAAUGGACUGAAGGAGUUUUUAGAAAGUCUUUCCAGAUCAUUCAUUUUACAUUUGAGAGAUUAAGCUUCCAUUUAAUUUUAUUUUACUUUCCAAAUAUGGAAAAGAAUUUGCCUAAAGUUUUUAGCAAAUCCGAAGUUAUUCAAGAAAUGCACUGGAAACAUGAUGAAUUCUUAACCUGUGUUUAAUGUUCAAUGAGAUGGUACAGCUUUCACAUUAAUUCAGGUGUUAACAUUUCUUUACCCUAUGAACUGCCUUUAACACCCUUAGCUUCCUUUUCUACUGGAUUGUCCAGAUUGUUUGAAUUUAUUUGUCAGAGUGCUUCUUCUUUAAACAAAAUUCAAAAUUUAUUCUCAUGCAUGUAAUACAUAAUUUUCUGGGGAGCUGUUAACUAUAGUUGUAGGUUGCUUAAGAGGUGAUACAUUCUGAGAAAUGGAUUAUUAGGCAAUCAUGGCUGUAGAACCAUCCUAGAGUGUACUUUUAGGAGUAGAGAUGGUGUAGCUUACUACACACUUAGGCAGCAUGGUAGCUCCUAUUGCUCCUAGGCUACAAACCUGUACAGUAUGUUACUGUAUUGUAGUGUAGGCUGUUGUCAAACAAUGGGUAUUUGUGUAACUAAAUAUGUAGAAACAGAAAAAAGUACUAUAAAAUGUGGCUUAAAAAAUAAAAAAUGGUAACCUGUAGAAGGCACUUGUGAGGAAGGGAGCUUGCAGGUCUGCAAGUCACUCUGGUGAGUCAGUGAGUGAGCGGUGAGUACAUGUAGAGGCCUAGGCCAUCACUGUACGCUACUGUGGACAUAAACACUGUAAUACACUCAAUUUACUUAAAAUAAUUUUCUUUCUUCACUAACAACCUUAUUUUACUGUAACUUUGUUUUUUUAAACAGAGUCUUACUCUGUCUCCCAGGCUGGAGUGCAGUGGCGCAAUCUCAGCUCACUGCAACCUCUGCCUCCUGAGUUCAAGCAAUUCUCACGUCUCAGCCUCCUGAGCAGCUGGGACUACAGGCGCGUGCCACCACGCCCGGCUAAUUUCUGUAUGUUUUUAGUAAAGACGUGGUUUAACCGUGUUGCCCAGGUUGCAAACUCCUGAGGUCAGGCAAUCCGCCCGCCUCGGCCUCCCAAAGUGCUGCGAUUACAGGCUUGAGCCACCACGCACGGCCAUCUUACUGUAACUUUUUUUUUUUUUUUUUUUUUAAUUUUUUAUUGGAUUAUAGGUUUUGGGGUACAUGAGCAGAGCAUGCAAGACAGUUGCGUAGGUACACACAUG
Callithrix jacchus (white-tufted-ear marmoset) is the source of this 1755-nucleotide long non-coding RNA. The record is from Ensembl. NCBI's taxonomy places the organism in Eukaryota, Metazoa, Chordata, Mammalia, Primates, Cebidae.